RNAcentral lists this ribosomal RNA (420 nucleotides) under uncultured bacterium. Its description in RNAcentral is "bacterial SSU rRNA". It matches the Rfam family "Bacterial small subunit ribosomal RNA", at positions 356 to 773 of the family's 1533-position model. The record is from RNAcentral.
GAGGAAUAUUGGUCAAUGGGCGCAAGCCUGAACCAGCCAUCCCGCGUGAAGGAAGAAGGCGCUAUGCGUCGUAAACUUCUUUUCCGGGGGAAUAAAAUUUCGUACGUGUACGGAACUGAAGGUACUCUGGGAAUAAGCAUCGGCUAACUCCGUGCCAGCAGCCGCGGUACUACGGAGGAUGCGAGCGUUAUCCGGAUUUAUUGGGUUUAAAGGGUGCGUAGGCGGAAAAAUAAGUCAGUGGUGAAAACCUUCAGCUUAACUGGAGACUUGCCAUUGAUACUGUUAUUCUUGAGUAUAGUUAAGGUAGGCGGAAUGUGUAAUGUAGCGGUGAAAUGCUUAGAUAUUACACAGAACACCAAUUGCGAAGGCAGCUUACUGAGCUAUAACUGACGCUGAUGCACGAAAGCGUGGGGAGCGAAC